Molecule: long non-coding RNA, 2829 nt
Organism: Mugil cephalus (flathead mullet)
Lineage: Eukaryota; Metazoa; Chordata; Actinopteri; Mugiliformes; Mugilidae
Exons: 3
Source: RefSeq, a predicted model, not a curated record
AGCGAAUCGCGCGGGACGCAAACCAAACUCGUCCUUUAGCCUAGCCUCCUACUAGUUAGGUACGAGCAGGGUAUGGGCAGCGUAUGAGGUGCACCCCUGUGCGAAGUUUGGCGUCGUACGUGAAGUCUGUGUGCCAGAGACUGAACCGUAAGAGCGGAAUGAUCACAGAGAACUGGUUACGUGAAGAGGUGCUUCAGCUCGGGUGAAUUUGGAACCGUGACAUGUCAUCAAAGGUGGUAUCCCUUGACAUAGAGGUACCCCAGGGGAGAUAUUGAGGGGACCGGAGUGAGCUUGAGGGCCUCAGCCAUACCCAGUCAGAAGCUGCUUGGACGGUGAUGGAUACCUUGCCCCAGGGAGAAACGGCCACAAGAGCACUUAACCGUAAACACACAGAGACACACACACACAAAUGCUCCGCAGACGGAGCUAGAUCCAAGCCUCAGACACGGAGCAGACACGGCGCACAGCGAGGUGGAAAUGAGAUGUUUAGCCUGAUGAUGCGUGACAUCUGUAAUGCAUUCUAAUUCUCCCCAUCGGAGCACUCGUCUUUAAGAAUGAUUGAUGAUGUUGUUUCAUCGUCUCAGUAAACACCGCUUAAUAAAUGAAGACCACGUCUGAUCAUCCACAGCUUCGGUGAUUCAGACUGAAUUCAGCAUUGUUCCAAAACAAUAAUAGCAUCUUGUACAUUUUCACUCUUGUUUUUAUUUGUUGUGCUGCUGGAUCCCCCCUUUUUGCCAAUGUUUUCUUUGUGUAACGUCAUUGUAUUUUUAUUUUUUUUAUUCUUUCAUACACUCGGCUCCAUUUCCCUGUGAACGACGUCAGCGUGCGCAUGCCGAUGUGACCAGGUGGCUUGACAGUAAAACUGUCUGUUUGAAUGUUCCGUAAACGGCGCAGAGUAGUAAUUUCACGAUCAUCACAUCACGCUUUGCAGACAGCGUUAUUACAUAUGUGGUGCGGCCGACUCUGCUAUUAUCAUUACUUAGCCCCAGAGCAGUUGCCCUGAACCUAAGCCUACCAUUAACAUUAAAUGUUAAUCACCCAUGCAACCGGCCAGCUUGUCGUCUAAGUUGUUAGAAUGUAUUUCAGCAUAUUCUACAUAUACUGGACGUCCGCCUUGUAAUUGGCUGUUGCUUUUCGAAUCGCGUAAGAUACCGCGUGAGAGAGGAAAGCAUGAAACCUGCAUGUUGUGUAGAUAUUUGUUGAAAACAUUAGCAUUUUGACUUCUCGGAGCAGCACGUGCGUCCUCAGCGGGGAGGCUUAUUACCGCAACUUCAGCUGCACUUUUGUGCUCUAAAGUCAACACAUGCCACUGCAUAUGCAGCUCACCUCGGAGAACUUGCUCUGCAUUAUUGUGCUGCAGUGUCGCCUCCUCCUCGCGGCGCAUCCUCGGCAUAAUGAUGAAUACAGUGUGCCGUGUGCGCGCUGCGGCGCGGUGGCUAUGUGUCGGUGCCGCGAGACACGCGUUGACACACACAGCAGUACGGUGAGCCGCUGUAAUCCUCUUGGGAGGAGGGCGCUGAACACACAGCGCCACGGAGCUGGGACUCGAUGACAUCAGAGUGUCUUGCGAGGAUCCUUCUCAGGGGGCCGCCACCUCAUGGGACCCAAAAGAUUAGAUUAAGUGCAUCAUCCAGGGGAGUGCUGUACUUUCCACAUAGAAAUUUUGGCCAUCUGAUGAUUUCCAAACCGGUCUUACUUAGAAAAACACGCUUUCUGCUGUUCUGACUUAAAAUUAUACAGAGUGACAAACACACAGUGUAUACAGUGUCAAAUACACUCCUGUUGUUGUUGGCAGGCAGGCAUAGUGGAAUCUUUACAAUGAUUCUAAGUUUUGAAAACACAUAUCAUAUGUUAUCCAAGUUGGCAAUGGGCAGGAGGCAGAGUAAACUCAGUCCAUCACAGGGCUGACAGAGAGACAGUUCACACAUAUGGCCGAUUUAGAACCACUAAUUAACCUGAGACACACGUCUGUGGAACUGCUUUGUACUUUAGUUUAAAUAAGGGAAUCGUUUAGUGGGACGAUGACAGCUUCUUAAAUCCACACUAAAUGAAUAUAAAUAAACCCGUUUUUUUUAUUUUUUUGCAGAGCCACAAUUCUGUAAUCACCGUAACAAUGUGGUCCACGGCAAAUUACAGCGAGAAAAUAAAGUCUCUUAUGUAACAGCGAAAGAUAAUGAGAUGUUAUUGCAGGUGAAGUUCUGUGGUCCGUUGUCAUGGAUAUCCUAAUAACAAGCCAUGUCUACACAGCUGAAUUACAAAGGCCCCUUUCUACAACAAUGCCUCGUAGACUAAACUGUGUGCACUGGUAUUUUAAAAAAUGAGAAUUCAAAACUAUAGUUGACCUUUCUACUUGUUUUCUUCUCCUCUCUUCAUCCCCUUUGAAGCUCUUUCUCAGUGACUGCUUCAGCUCUGGCCUCUAUCUGUUUACAUGGGUCACAUUCCCGGUUAUAUAUUUUUGACCCGAUAUCUCUCUUAAACAUUUGUGAAUCAUUUUUUUUUGCGUGUUUUUAUCUGUGGAGUUGAAACAAUUAUUCAGAUACAAUGAACCCUUGAACCCAGUGCUUCUCUGCUUGUCAGCAUAAAUGCAUGAAAUCGCAGCAGUUUUUAUGUCACUAUCCCUAGACUAGCAAAUCCUAGACAUAUAAAUGAGUUAAUAUUGUAGCUGAAAUCACCCGUCUAUUGCAAUAAAUAAAUGAAUAACAAAGAAGAGAAUAAAUGUCAAGAAAUAAAUGUCCUCCACACAAUACAGUAAAAAUUAACCGGUUAAAGAUCUGAGGAAAGGCCGGUGUGAGAAACCGUUAACUGACUCGCUCUGCCUCAUGUAAUAAU